UGAUGACGAUGGUGAUGACGGUGAUGAUGGUGAUGGUGAUAAAGCUGUGGUGAUGAUAAUGGAUAUGUAUAUCCAUCAUUAUCAUCAUCAUCUUCCUCCUCG
This 102-nucleotide microRNA precursor is filed under the name Bigelowiella natans CCMP2755. RNAcentral describes it as "miRNA EPrBNAG00000013677". Lineage: Eukaryota; Cercozoa; Chlorarachniophyceae. The record is from RNAcentral.